Molecule: long non-coding RNA, 1006 nt
Organism: Hyalella azteca
Lineage: Eukaryota; Metazoa; Arthropoda; Malacostraca; Amphipoda; Hyalellidae
Exons: 2
Source: RefSeq, a predicted model, not a curated record
UGGUGGUGAUUUUGGUGGCGCUCACCACGUCGGCAGCCAUGGCGGCGCCGUCCAUAAUGUUACCUGCGAAAUGCCAUCAUACGUGAGCCAUGCGUGGUAUGGAAACACAAGGCAUGAAAGGCAAUCAUUGAAACCUGGACCAAGAGGAAUGCACGCUGGUGACAAUAGGGUACGGAGCGAUGUCACUUCCCAGGACAAACCGAUACCGCUGUAUGUGGUGCUAUUUUACUCCGUCCUCUAUACCUCCGCAGUGAUCGGAUUCAUUGUUUUCGUCGUGCUUGUGUCCCGACGAUGAAUGAAGCUGGAUGCUUACUUUUGAUUCAUUCUGUUCACCUUCCGGCGACGAAUGAAUUUGGUAGAUGUGUACCUUUGAAUUCAAACUUGAUUUAAUCUAAUGAAUAUAUGAAAACUAUGUUGAUAUUAUAACUGCUGCUUACUAUUUUAUGGAAGAACAUGAAAUAAAGUACGAUGUGAUGGCAAAGCCAAAAUAAAAUAUUAUUCCAAAUACUAAUCUAGAUUACAAAUGGUUUUAAAAAUCCAUUUGAUUUGAAAGUCGUGCAAAAUCGCAAUAUAUGAAAUAGAACUUUUUUCUAGAUACCGUAUUGUUACGGGGGAUUAAUUAAAACAUCCGCCAACUGCUGUAUGUGCAAUAAUUACGAUUUCACAAAGAACGUUUGAUUCUGAUUAUUUUUUGUAUCCAUAAUGUAAAUCCUGUACGGCUGCUUCCUGGUGUGUCAAUCAUUCUCCUGUAACCAGAAUUUUGUCAUCACAAGUGCAAACGAGUAAAACUUAUUCAUAAAUUUAGCUGCACAAGAAAUUAAAGAUUUAUUCUUAUUAAGUUUAUACGAAAAAUUUUUGGCGUGCUAGGAUUUGCAAAUAAUUUAAUUGAGAGCGCAGCUUCUCACUUACAUACAGUGCAGUUUAAUCAAGUUCGAUACUCUUCAAGAUAUGCCAAGAAACGAAGUCACACGACGAAAAAGUUUGAAACAUAAAAAUCUCAAUCAUA